UCCAGUGUCUGUGAUGACUUUUUUUUCCCCGGCAGACCGACCAUGUUGACUGCCUAUGAAUUUAAGCCAAAGACUUCUGAGCCACUGAA
Electrophorus electricus (electric eel) is the source of this 89-nucleotide small nucleolar RNA. RefSeq annotates it as small nucleolar SNORD12/SNORD106. The record is from RefSeq and is a predicted model, not a curated record. NCBI's taxonomy places the organism in Eukaryota, Metazoa, Chordata, Actinopteri, Gymnotiformes, Gymnotidae.